UGAGGAAUAUUGGUCAAUGGACGCAAGUCUGAACCAGCCAUGCCGCGUGAAGGAUGAAGGCCUUCUGGGUUGUAAACUUCUUUUACCUGGGAAGAAACCUCUUUUUUCUAAGAGAGUUGACGGUACCAGAGGAAUAAGCACCGGCUAACUCCGUGCCAGCAGCCGCGGUAAUACGGAGGGUGCAAGCGUUAUCCGGAUUUACUGGGUUUAAAGGGUGUGUAGGCGGGCUUUUAAGUCAGUGGUGAAAUCUCCGGGCUCAACCUGGAAACUGCCAUUGAUACUAUUAGUCUUGAAUUUUGUUGAGGUAGGCGGAAUAAGUCAUGUAGCGGUGAAAUGCUUAGAUAUGACUUAGAACACCAAUUGCGAAGGCAGCUUGCUAAACAAAUAUUGACGCUGAGGCACGAAAGCGUGGGGAUCAAACAGG
Molecule: ribosomal RNA, 424 nt
Filed under: uncultured bacterium
Lineage: Bacteria
Description: bacterial SSU rRNA
Rfam family: Bacterial small subunit ribosomal RNA
Source: RNAcentral